RNAcentral lists this ribosomal RNA (278 nucleotides) under Zorotypus sp. 5 YM-2019. Its description in RNAcentral is "partial 12S ribosomal RNA". Lineage: Eukaryota; Metazoa; Arthropoda; Insecta; Zoraptera; Zorotypidae. The record is from RNAcentral.
GAAACUAAAAGAAUUUGGCGGCAAUUUAAUUUUUUAGAGGAAUUUGUCUCGUUAUCGAUAUUCCGCGAUUUGUUUACUUUAUCUGGUUUAGCUUAUAUAUCGUUGUUAAAAGAAUAUAUUUUUAGGUUUAUUUUCUCUAUUUUUGUAAAAUUGUAUUUCAGAUCAAGGUUUAGCUUAUGAUAAAGUGAGGAUGAAUUACAAUAAUUGAAGUUAUACGAAUGUUGAUUUUUGUAUUUAAACUGAAGGUGGAUUUAAGAGUAAGAUUAUUUAGUUUAGUA